GAUGAACGCUGGCGGCGUGCUUAACACAUGCAAGUCGAACGGUGAAGGCGGAGCUUGCUCUGCUGGAUCAGUGGCGAACGGGUGAGUAACACGUGAGCAAUCUGCCCCUGACUCUGGGAUAAGCGCUGGAAACGGCGUCUAAUACUGGAUACGAGCUGCGAAGGCAUCUUCAGCAGCUGGAAAGAACUUCGGUCAGGGAUGAGCUCGCGGCCUAUCAGCUUGUUGGUGAGGUAACGGCUCACCAAGGCGUCGACGGGUAGCCGGCCUGAGAGGGUGACCGGCCACAAUGGGACUGAGACACGGCCCAGACUCCUACGGGAGGCAGCAGUGGGGAAUAUUGCACAAUGGGCGAAAGCCUGAUGCAGCAAAGCCGCGUGAGGGACGACGGCCUUCGGGUUGUAAACCUCUUUUAGAAGGGAAGAAGCGAAAGUGACGGUAACUGCAGAAAAAGCGCCGGCUAACUACGUG
This 468-nucleotide ribosomal RNA is filed under the name uncultured bacterium. RNAcentral describes it as "partial 16S ribosomal RNA". It matches the Rfam family "Bacterial small subunit ribosomal RNA", at positions 28 to 507 of the family's 1533-position model. The record is from RNAcentral.